UACGGAGGGUGCAAGCGUUGUCCGGAUUUAUUGGGUUUAAAGGGUGCGUAGGCGGCCUGUUAAGUCAGGGGUGAAAGACGGUAGCUCAACUAUCGCAGUGCCCUUGAUACUGAUGGGCUUGAAUGGACUAGAGGUAGGCGGAAUGAGACAAGUAGCGGUGAAAUGCAUAGAUAUGUCUCAGAACACCGAUUGCGAAGGCAGCUUACUAUGGUCUUAUUGACGCUGAGGCACGAAAGCGUGGGGAUCAAACAGG
Molecule: ribosomal RNA, 253 nt
Filed under: uncultured bacterium
Lineage: Bacteria
Description: partial 16S ribosomal RNA
Rfam family: Bacterial small subunit ribosomal RNA
Source: RNAcentral